RNAcentral lists this ribosomal RNA (515 nucleotides) under uncultured bacterium. RNAcentral's name for it is "partial 16S ribosomal RNA". It matches the Rfam family "Bacterial small subunit ribosomal RNA", at positions 28 to 523 of the family's 1533-position model. The record is from RNAcentral.
GAUGAACGCUGGCGGCGUGCCUAAUACAUGCAAGUCGAGCGAAUGGAUUAAGAGCUUGCUCUUAUGAAGUUAGCGGCGGACGGGUGAGUAACACGUGGAUAACCUGCCCAUAAGACUGGGAUAACUCCGGGAAACCGGGGCUAAUACCGGAUAACAUUUUGAACUGCAUGGUUCGAAAUUGAGAGGCGGCUUCGGCUGUCACUUAUGGAUGGACCCGCGUCGCAUUGGCUAGUUGGUGAGGUAACGGCUCACCAAGGCAACGAUGCGUAGCCGACCUGACAGGGUGAUCGGCCAGACUGGGACUGAGACACGGCACAGGCUCCUACGGGAGGCAGCAGUAGGGAAUCUUCCGGAAUGGACGAAAGUCUGACGGAGCAACGCCGCGUGAGUGAUGAAGGCUUUCGGGUCGUAAAACUCUGUUGUUAGGGAAGAACAAGUGCUAGUUGAAUAAGCUGGCACCUUGACGGUACCUAACCAGAAAGCCACGGCUAACUACGUGCCAGCCGCCGCCGUAA